ACUCCUACGGGAGGCAGCAGUGGGGAAUAUUGCACAAUGGGCGCAAGCCUGAUGCAGCCAUGCCGCGUGUAUGAAGAAGGCCUUCGGGUUGUAAAGUACUUUCAGCAGUGAGGAAGGUGGGUAUGUUAAUAGCAUACUCAUUUGACGUUAGCUGCAGAAGAAGCACCGGCUAACUCCGUGCCAGCAGCCGCGGUAAUACGGAGGGUGCGAGCGUUAAUCGGAAUUACUGGGCGUAAAGCGCAUGCAGGUGGUUUGUUAAGUCAGAUGUGAAAGCCCGGGGCUCAACCUCGGAAUUGCAUUUGAAACUGGCAAACUAGAGUACUGUAGAGGGGGGUAGAAUUUCAGGUGUAGCGGUGAAAUGCGUAGAGAUCUGAAGGAAUACCGGUGGCGAAGGCGGCCCCCUGGACAGAUACUGACACUCAGAUGCGAAAGCGUGGGGAGCAAACAGGAUUAGAUACCCUGGUAGGCUACUGC
Molecule: ribosomal RNA, 474 nt
Filed under: uncultured bacterium
Lineage: Bacteria
Description: bacterial SSU rRNA
Rfam family: Bacterial small subunit ribosomal RNA
Source: RNAcentral